UCCACCCUCUCAGAACCUCCUUUAGACUUUUAAUUUUUAUUUUUUAGAACCCUCACAAUCCUUGUUAGGACCAGAUAAGGCUUUGUCUUAAAUCCCAAAGCUUUGUCCUAAAACUAAGAUAGGUUGUAAGAAAGAAAUGAGAGCAAUGGAGAUAAAAUCAAAAACUCGAACUGAAUACCUCGGACACCCAGCACCCAGACUUUUUAAUAGCCACC
Molecule: long non-coding RNA, 215 nt
Filed under: Elaeis guineensis (African oil palm)
Lineage: Eukaryota; Viridiplantae; Streptophyta; Magnoliopsida; Arecales; Arecaceae
Description: long non-coding RNA (EGUI_LNC040023)
Source: RNAcentral